GGUCUAUAAAUAGCAAACG
This 19-nucleotide small nuclear RNA is filed under the name Arabidopsis thaliana (thale cress). RNAcentral describes it as "snRNA_10493". The record is from RNAcentral. Lineage: Eukaryota; Viridiplantae; Streptophyta; Magnoliopsida; Brassicales; Brassicaceae.